UAAUACGAACCGUACAAACGUUAUUCGGAAUCACUGGGCUUAAAGGGUGCGUAGUCGGCCAUGUAAGUGAGGUGUGAAAUCCCUCGGCUCAACCGAGGAACUGCGCUUCAUACUGCAUGGCUUGAGGGAGACAGGGGUUAGCGGAACUGAUGGUGGAGCGGUGAAAUGCGUUGAUAUCAUCAGGAGCACCGGUGGCGAAAGCGGCUAACUGGGUCUCUUCUGACGCUGAGGUACGAAAGCUAGGGUAGCGAACG
Molecule: ribosomal RNA, 254 nt
Filed under: uncultured prokaryote
Description: partial 16S ribosomal RNA
Rfam family: Bacterial small subunit ribosomal RNA
Source: RNAcentral